UAGGGAAUCUUCGGCAAUGGACGAAAGUCUGACCGAGCAACGCCGCGUGAGUGAAGAAGGUUUUCGGAUCGUAAAACUCUGUUGUUAGAGAAGAACAAGGACGUUAGUAACUGAACGUCCCCUGACGGUAUCUAACCAGAAAGCCACGGCUAACUACGUGCCAGCAGCCGCGGUAAUACGUAGGUGGCAAGCGUUGUCCGGAUUUAUUGGGCGUAAAGCGAGCGCAGGCGGUUUCUUAAGUCUGAUGUGAAAGCCCCCGGCUCAACCGGGGAGGGUCGAUUGGAACCUGGGGAAUUGAGUGCAGUAGAGGGGAGUGGAAUUUCAUGUGUAGGGGGUAAAUGCGUAAGUAAAAUGGGGAAAACCAGUGGGGAAGGCGGCUCUCUGGUCUGUAACUGACGCUGAGGCUCGAAAGCGUGGGGAGCAAACAGG
This 429-nucleotide ribosomal RNA is filed under the name Gemmatimonadota bacterium. RNAcentral describes it as "Gemmatimonadetes bacterium partial 16S ribosomal RNA". It matches the Rfam family "Bacterial small subunit ribosomal RNA", at positions 355 to 776 of the family's 1533-position model. The record is from RNAcentral. Lineage: Bacteria; Pseudomonadati; Gemmatimonadota.